UACAGAGGUGGCAAGCGUUGUUCGGAUUUAUUGGGCGUAAAGGGUCCGUAGGCGGUUUGGAAAGUCAGAUGUGAAAUCCCACAGCUCAACUGUGGAACUGCAUUUGAAACUUCCAGACUAGAGUGUGAGAGGGGUAAGGGGAAUUCCCGGUGUAAGGGUGAAAUCUGCAGAGAUCGGGAGGAACACCAGUCGCGAAGGCGCCUUACUGGCUCACUACUGACGCUCAGGGACGAAAGCUAGGGGAGCAAACGGG
Molecule: ribosomal RNA, 253 nt
Filed under: uncultured bacterium
Lineage: Bacteria
Description: partial 16S ribosomal RNA
Rfam family: Bacterial small subunit ribosomal RNA
Source: RNAcentral